Molecule: ribosomal RNA, 301 nt
Filed under: uncultured bacterium
Lineage: Bacteria
Description: partial 16S ribosomal RNA
Rfam family: Bacterial small subunit ribosomal RNA
Source: RNAcentral
CAGUCGCCGCGGGAAUACAGAGGGUGCGAGCGUUAAUCGGAUUUACUGGGCGUAAAGCGUGCGUAGGCGGCUAAUUGAGUCGGAUGUGAAAUCCCCGAGCUUAACUUGGGAAUUGCAUUCGAUACUGGUUAGCUAGAGUGUGGGAGAGGAUGGUAGAAUUCCAGGUGUAGCGGUGAAAUGCGUAGAGAUCUGGAGGAAUACCGAUGGCGAAGGCAGCCAUCUGGCCUAACACUGACUCUGAGGUACGAAAGCAUGGGGAGCAAACAGGAUUAGAUACCCCUGUAGUCCCUGUCUCUUAUAC